AGCAGCCGCGGUAAUUCCGGCUCCAAUAGCGUAUAUUAAAGUUGUUGCAGUUAAAAAGCUCGUAGUUGAACUUCGGGGUUCACCCAUUGGUCAGGCUUAACUGUCUGCACUGGUGAGAUGAAUCUCUACCUUCUGAGGAACUUUCAUGCCAUUUAUUUGGUGUGAUGGGAAAUCAGGACUGUUACUUUGAAAAAAUUGAGUGUUUAAAGCAGGCUAACGUCUGAAUACAUUAGCAUGGAAUAAUGAAAUAGGACGGACUGGUUCUAUUUUGUUGGUUUCUAGGAUCACCGUAAUGAUUAAUAGGGAUAGUUGGGGGCAUUAGUAUUCAAUUGUCAGAGGUGAAAUUCUUGGAUUUAUUGAAGACUAACUACUGCGAAAGCAUUUGCCAAGGAUGUUUUCAUUAAUCAAGAACGAAAGUUAGGGGAUCGAAGACGAUCAGAUACCGUCGUAGUCUUAACCAUAAACUAUGCCGACUAGGGAUCGGAUGAUAAUUUUUUAAUGACUCAUUCGGCGUACCG
RNAcentral lists this ribosomal RNA (518 nucleotides) under uncultured Diversispora. RNAcentral's name for it is "SSU rRNA". It matches the Rfam family "Eukaryotic small subunit ribosomal RNA", at positions 569 to 1088 of the family's 1831-position model. Lineage: Eukaryota; Fungi; Glomeromycota; Glomeromycetes; Diversisporales; Diversisporaceae. The record is from RNAcentral.